CCUACGGGGGGCUGCAGUGGGGAAUAUUGCACAAUGGGGGAAACCCUGAUGCAGCAACGCCGCGUGAGCGAUGAAGGCCUUCGGGUCGUAAAGCUCUGUCCUAAGGGAAGAAUACUGACGGUACCUUAGGAGGAAGCACCGGCUAACUACGUGCCAGCAGCCGCGGUAAUACGUGGGGGGCUAGCGUUAUCCGGAAUUACUGGGCUUAAAGAGUGCGUAGGCGGCCCUGACAGUCAGAGGGGACAGGCUAGGGUGCAACCGUAGUAAUCAUUUGAAAUGGUAGGGCUUGAAUGCAGGAGAGGAGAGUGGAGUUCCCGGUGUAGCGGUGAAAUGCGUAGAUAGUUGGAGGAACACGAUUUGCGAAGGCGGAUCUCUGGACUGGUACUGACGCUGAGUCACGAAAGCGUGGGGAGCGAACAGGAUUGGAUUCCCUGGUAGUC
Molecule: ribosomal RNA, 440 nt
Filed under: uncultured bacterium
Lineage: Bacteria
Description: bacterial SSU rRNA
Rfam family: Bacterial small subunit ribosomal RNA
Source: RNAcentral